RNAcentral lists this ribosomal RNA (186 nucleotides) under uncultured rumen bacterium. Its description in RNAcentral is "partial 16S ribosomal RNA". It matches the Rfam family "Bacterial small subunit ribosomal RNA", at positions 340 to 524 of the family's 1533-position model. The record is from RNAcentral.
UACGGGAGGCAGCAGUGAGGAAUAUUGGACAAUGGCCGGAAGGCUGAUCCAGCCAUGCCGCGUGAAGGAUAAGGUCCUAUGGAUUGUAAACUUCUUUUGAGUGGGAGCAAUAAGGAUGUCGUGACAUCCGAUGAGAGUACCAUUCGAAUAAGCAUCGGCUAACUCCGUGCCAGCAGCCGCGGUAAU